Molecule: ribosomal RNA, 440 nt
Filed under: uncultured bacterium
Lineage: Bacteria
Description: partial 16S ribosomal RNA
Rfam family: Bacterial small subunit ribosomal RNA
Source: RNAcentral
CCUACGGGAGGCAGCAGUGGGGGAUAUUGCACAAUGGGGGAAACCCUGAUGCAGCAACGCCGCGUGAGUGAAGAAGUAUUUCGGUACGUAAAGCUCUAUCAGCAGGGAAGAAAAUGACGGUACCUGACUAAGAAGCCCCGGCUAACUACGUGCCAGCAGCCGCGGUAAUACGUAGGGGGCAAGCGUUAUCCGGAUUUACUGGGUGUAAAGGGAGCGUAGACGGCAGCGCAAGUCUGGAGUGAAAUCCCAUGGCUUAACCAUGGAACUGCUUUGGAAACUGUGCAGCUAGAGUGCAGGAGAGGUAAGCGGAAUUCCUAGUGUAGCGGUGAAAUGCGUAGAUAUUAGGAGGAACACCAGUGGCGAAGGCGGCUUACUGGACUGUAACUGACGUUGAGGCUCGAAAGCGUGGGGAGCAAACAGGAUUAGAUACCCGGGUAGUC